CCAAGCAGCUGCAGCCCUAAAGUGGCCAUUUUGUUACUGGCAGUUGCUUGACUGCACCUUUGUUUCUUUCAGAUGAAUCACUGCUGGAUCCAGACUGACUCUGAGGGCAACGCCAGGUCUUGAGGAGUCAUUUACAUUACCUGGAUCUACCGGUGUACUCAAGCUAAGAAAUGAAAGGUUCCACGCACACAGUUUUGGGGAAAAUUGACUGAAUUAUUACAUCCAUAAUAUAGAUGGACUUCCAACAGCUGUAUAAAGUUUUGGUGUGUCCAGAUGAGUCAACUUCUGGCUCCAUGACACGGGACAGUGGUACGAAUCACCUGAAGAGUUGUUUUCUUCUAACACUGAACAAGGAACUUAAUUAGAGAUGGAAAUAAAUAUCAGAAUUUCCCAGAGGAUGAAAAUUUCAUUUUUGAUCAGCUCUACCUAAGUGGUCUGAGCACAGACCUGGGACCUAGGAACUUCUGAAUUCUAUUCCUGGCUCUAACAUUGACAUAGUGGCAUUGGACAAGAUAGCUCUAUGCCUCGCUCUCUGGCUCCCUGUUGUUGUAGUUGCUUUGAAGACAAAUUAAUAUGUUUAUAAAGCAAUCUAUAAGGGCUAAGUGCUAUAUAGAUACUAAUGUGGAAUGAAACAGAUCACUUGGGGCCAAAUUCAACGACGAUAUAUUUGACUUCGGUAACCUAGAUGCCCCAACAAAAGCUUAUAUUGUAUUACUUCAUUGCUGCAGUAGUUGCCUGUAUUCUUUCCCCCCUGAGGCAAACCUUGAGGUAUCAGAACCAAAGUGACAAUAUACCAUCAACACAUGAAACGACUUUGAAUUGUUUCUUUGUCUGAUUUUUGCUAAUAUUUAAUUAGAAGGGGAUGGAUCUGAACCGAGCCUCUAGAUUCUAACUUUUAAUUCCCUUCUUUCAAAACCCAACCCCAGAUCUGGAUCUAAAUUUUACAGCUUGAGCCCACCUCUAGUAACUAGUGCUAAGAGGAUGAUGAAAUGAAUGGAAACCUGUUUGGAUCCCCAUCUCACUUUCACGCCACCCCCCAUA
Molecule: long non-coding RNA, 1041 nt
Organism: Mauremys reevesii (Reeves's turtle)
Lineage: Eukaryota; Metazoa; Chordata; Testudines; Geoemydidae
Exons: 5
Source: RefSeq, a predicted model, not a curated record